Long non-coding RNA from Triticum dicoccoides, 2219 nucleotides. RefSeq lists it as uncharacterized. NCBI's taxonomy places the organism in Eukaryota, Viridiplantae, Streptophyta, Magnoliopsida, Poales, Poaceae. The record is from RefSeq and is a predicted model, not a curated record. The transcript is spliced from 4 exons.
UUCCUCCUCCUCUCUCCUACAUCUCCCACACGCGCAGAACCAUCUAGGGCAAAAACCACAUGCACACAUGCCACAGUCGUCGCCGCCGCCGCCCCUACCCCAUCCUAUCCCCCAGCCCUCCAUCUCCAUCCAAGUCCUCUGUUCCGUGCCAGGGGCCUCCCGCGGUCUGAUGCAUCAACAUGGGAUGAGUUGUGGCGAUGGUGACGGCGGCCAGCAUGCUGUCGGGCUACCUGGUGGGGGCGGCAGUGCUUCACCGCAAAGGCGGGGCGCGCGGCCUGUGCUUGCGAUAGCCGCUGAUAGUAGAACAGCAGACCUACAAUGGGUAACCAUCUGCAAGAUCAGCAUGAUCGUUCACAUAAUGGUGGAUAUCGCGAGAUUCAUUAUCAAGUUGCAUACUUGCAUAUACUGUAGUGAACCACAAACAUGACUGGGAGAGGAGGGGAAGAAGAGGAUGCAUCCUGAAGACAGGUCGAGAAGCUUGCGGAGGCAGGAAGAUCGGGUACAAGGCUUGAGGAAUUAACUCCUUGGUGUACAUAUAGGCAAGGGAUGUAGUUAGUUGUCUUCCAAAUUCUGACGGUUACUCUGGUUUCAAGGCUUGUUCAGUGUGGCAUGGUGCUCCUAAGUCCUGCAAUGGAUGCACAUGUAUCAUUCUGUAUUGGGUACGUUCUUGGCAUCUGGUUGUGCUUUUGCUCUAUGAUUGCGGAGAAUUUAAAAUUAAUUAUUUGAGACUUUGUUUCUAUAUCAUCUUCUAGAUAUCCAGAGUGAAUUGCCCCGUUGACAAGCGGAUCCACUAAAUUGGUGCACUGGAUAAUAAUUUCCAAGGCAAUACCAAUAUGAGCAUAAGGACCAUCAAAUGUAUCACGUAUGAUUUGUUCAACGAAUACUGUAAUAUCCUCCCCAUAGAAAUGACUAUCAGAGGAUUCAUGUUGCAUUGCUUCUAGACGGCAUGUCGGACCAAUUGUUGAGAUUUAUGUGAAUAACCAUUCUGGUAAGAAGUUCGCGCAGAGUGUGACAAAAGGGUUGGGUCAAAAUAAAGUACAUGUAUUACUAAAAUCCAUCCCUCUCAUCUCAUGCAUGCAUAACCAGGCCGAUGGUAAUUUGUCUACUACUCUACUUACUGCAGUUCACGAUAAUUUGUCUACUACAUUACUUAAGCUUGAGGGUGAAGUAGAUGAUAAGUUGCAUUAUUUACCAAGUUUAUCUUGGUCAUAAGCCUGAGAUUUGCAUACACCAUAGAAGCCAUAUAAAUCUUUGAGAUGAACAGUCAAUGGCUUAUAUUGUUGGUGCAGGAGGGCGAGGCAGUGGCAAAGGUAUUGAGUAUGUUUAGAUCUUGAACCAUUUUGGGCUUGCCCAUCUGAGUGUUGGCGAUCUUCUUUGCGAAGAAGUCAAAUCCGAGCAAGGUUAACAAUCUGCUCUCAGUUUCUGUAUAGAUAUCUUUCUAAUGUCAGCCUGUUUCAGGUAGUACAAUGAUCAAGAAUCUCAUGCAUGAAGGAAAUCUUGCACCUUUUGAGAUCAUCAUCAGGCUACUGCUAUACCACAAUACCCACCACUAAGUUCGGCUGUUCCAUUUCGCUACAGGAAUUUUCAACUAAUGCAGCUGAUGCGUUACUAUAUUGAUAACUGAGCUUGCAUAGCAACACUUCAGACCAAUCCAUGAAAGUGUUCCCUUAUCCCUUUGAUACAUUUUAUUGUCUUACUAAUUAAUGUUGCAAGGAAUAUUCAGAGGUAUUUGGUUAUCCUCGUCCCCUCCCGCUCUCAAACCAAACGAGUCGAAUCCCUAGGAAAAUUGGCUAUCCCCAGCCCAUCCAAAGAUAGCCAGUGAACCAAACGCCACCUAAAGAGUAUACUCUCUGCAUCUCUUGUAGCAUGGUGGCCUAGAGCUAGAGGUCCUUGAGCCUAAAAUAAAAUGGCAUGCAUGAAAAACGGCCUAGAGAUAGAGGAAUUUAUAAGAAUGAGGGGUACCCUAUCCCACCUGCACGGUUGAUUAGGUCGUCGACCCGUGAGGGACAACGACCUUACUUUCAUAUGUAAUAUGUGUUUUUUUGAGCUAUGAAUAUUAGAUGGGGAAGGGUUGAAAUAUUUUAUGCACCCAUGGUUCCUAAAGGGUAUGAAAUAUGUGUUUUUUGCAGUAGUUCCUAAAUGGUCACCUCCAAGUGCCUUUUCAUAUGUAAUAAUUUGCCAUGCAAUUGCAUAAUGCAAUCAAGGCAAUGCUUGUAGUA